AGAGUUUGAUCCUGGCUCAGGAUGAACGCUGGCGGCGUGCAUAAUACAUGCAAGUCGAGCGAACCACUUCGGUGGUGAGCGGCGAACGGGUGAGUAACACGUAGGUGAUCUGCCCAUCAGACGGGGACAACGAUUGGAAACGAUCGCUAAUACCGGAUAGGACGAAAGUUUAAAGGUGCUUCGGCACCACUGAUGGAUGAGCCUGCGGCGCAUUAGCUAGUUGGUAGGGUAAAGGCCUACCAAGGCGACGAUGCGUAGCCGACCUGAGAGGGUGAACGGCCACACUGGGACUGAGACACGGCCCAGACUCCUACGGGAGGCAGCAGUAGGGAAUCUUCGGCAAUGGGCGAAAGCCUGACCGAGCAACGCCGCGUGAAUGAUGAAGGCCUUCGGGUUGUAAAAUUCUGUUAUAAGGGAAGAAUGACUCUAGUAGGAAAUGGCUAGAGUGUGACGGUACCUUAUGAGAAAGCCACGGCUAACUACGUGCCAGCAGCCGCGGUAAUACGUAGGUGGCGAGCGUUAUCCGGAAUUAUUGGGCGUAAAGAGCGCGCAGGUGGUUGAUUAAGUCUGAUGUGAAAGCCCACGGCUUAACCGUGGAGGGUCAUUGGAAACUGGUCAACUUGAGUGCAGAAGAGGGAAGUGGAAUUCCAUGUGUAGCGGUGAAAUGCGUAGAGAUAUGGAGGAACACCAGUGGCGAAGGCGGCUUCCUGGUCUGUAACUGACACUGAGGCGCGAAAGCGUGGGGAGCAAACAGGAUUAGAUACCCUGGUAGUCCACGCCGUAAACGAUGAGUGCUAAGUGUUGGGGGUCGAACCUCAGUGCUGAAGUUAACGCAUUAAGCACUCCGCCUGGGGAGUACGGUCGCAAGACUGAAACUCAAGGAAUUGACGGGGACC
RNAcentral lists this ribosomal RNA (896 nucleotides) under uncultured bacterium. RNAcentral's name for it is "bacterial SSU rRNA". It matches the Rfam family "Bacterial small subunit ribosomal RNA", at positions 8 to 921 of the family's 1533-position model. The record is from RNAcentral.